RNAcentral lists this ribosomal RNA (597 nucleotides) under Hamigera paravellanea. RNAcentral describes it as "eukaryotic LSU rRNA". It matches the Rfam family "Eukaryotic large subunit ribosomal RNA", at positions 37 to 649 of the family's 3401-position model. The record is from RNAcentral. Lineage: Eukaryota; Fungi; Ascomycota; Eurotiomycetes; Eurotiales; Aspergillaceae.
AGCAUAUCAAUAAGCGGAGGAAAAGAAACCAACAGGGAUUGCCUCAGUAACGGCGAGUGAAGCGGCAAGAGCUCAAAUUUGAAAUCUGGCCCCUCCGGGGUCCGAGUUGUAAUUUGCAGAGGAUGCUUCGGAUACGGCCCCCGUCUAAGUGCCCUGGAACGGGCCGUCGGAGAGGGUGAGAAUCCCGUCUGGGACGGGGUGUCCGUGUCCGUGUGAAGCUCCUUCGACGAGUCGAGUUGUUUGGGAAUGCAGCUCUAAAUGGGUGGUAAAUUUCAUCUAAAGCUAAAUAUUGGCCGGAGACCGAUAGCGCACAAGUAGAGUGAUCGAAAGAUGAAAAGCACUUUGAAAAGAGAGUUAAACAGCACGUGAAAUUGUUGAAAGGGAAGCGCUUGCGACCAGACUCGCCUGCGGGGUUCAGCCGGGAUUCGUCCCGGUGUACUUCCCCGCAGGCGGGCCAGCGUCGGUUUGGGCGGUCGGUCAAAGGCCUCCGGAAUGUAUCGCCCCCCGGGGCGUCUUAUAGCCGGAGGUGCAAUGCGGCCUGCCCGGACCGAGGAACGCGCUUCGGCACGGACGCUGGCAUAAUGGUCGUAAGCGACC